CUAUGGACUCCUACGGGAGGCAGCAGUAGGGAAUAUUGGUCAAUGGGUGAGAGCCUGAACCAGCCAUGCCGCGUGCAGGAAGACGGCCUUCUGGGUUGUAAACUGCUUUUACCAGGGGAUAAAAAGACCUUGCGAGGUUAAUUGAAGGUACCUGGAGAAUAAGCACCGGCUAACUACGUGCCAGCAGCCGCGGUAAUACGUAGGGUGCAAGCGUUGUCCGGAUUUAUUGGGUUUAAAGGGUGCGUAGGCGGGCUAUUAAGUCAGUGGUGAAAUCCAGCAGCUUAACUGUUGAUGUGCCAUUGAUACUGGUAGCCUUGAGUACAGAUGAGGUAGGCGGAAUUGACAGUGUAGCGGUGAAAUGCAUAGAUAUUGUCAAGAACUCCGAUAGCGAAGGCAGCUUACUGGGCUGUAACUGACGCUGAUGCACGAAAGUGUGGGGAUCAAACAGGAUUAGAUACCCUGGUAG
This 466-nucleotide ribosomal RNA is filed under the name uncultured bacterium. RNAcentral describes it as "bacterial SSU rRNA". It matches the Rfam family "Bacterial small subunit ribosomal RNA", at positions 329 to 793 of the family's 1533-position model. The record is from RNAcentral.